This 618-nucleotide ribosomal RNA is filed under the name uncultured Lachnospiraceae bacterium. RNAcentral's name for it is "bacterial SSU rRNA". It matches the Rfam family "Bacterial small subunit ribosomal RNA", at positions 140 to 776 of the family's 1533-position model. Lineage: Bacteria; Bacillati; Bacillota; Clostridia; Lachnospirales; Lachnospiraceae. The record is from RNAcentral.
GGGAUAACAGUCAGAAAUGACUGCUAAUACCGCAUAAGACCACAGCACCGCAUGGUGCAGGGGUAAAACUCCGGUGGUACGAGAUGGACCCGCGUCUGAUUAGCUGGUUGGUAAGGUAACGGCUUACCAAGGCGACGAUCAGUAGCCGACCUGAGAGAGUGACCGGCCACAUUGGGACUGAGACACGGCCCAAACUCCUACGGGAGGCAGCAGUGGGGAAUAUUGCACAAUGGGGGAAACCCUGAUGCAGCGACGCCGCGUGAGUGAAGAAGUACUUCGGUAUGUAAAGCUCUAUCAGCAGGGAAGAAAAUGACGGUACCUGACUAAGAAGCACCGGCUAAAUACGUGCCAGCAGCCGCGGUAAUACGUAUGGUGCAAGCGUUAUCCGGAAUUACUGGGUGUAAAGGGAGCGUAGACGGAUGGGCAAGUCAGAAGUGAAAACCCGGGGCUCAACUCCGGGACUGCAUUGGAAACCGUCUAAUCUAGAGUGCAUGGAGAGGUAAGUGGAAUUCCUAGUGUAGCGGUGAAAUGCGUAGAUAUUAGGAGGAACACCAGUGGCGAAGGCGGCUUACUGGACUGUAACUGACGUUGAGGCUCGAAGCGUGGGGAGCAAACAGG